UGAUAUUGUUAUCACUGGGAGUGACUCUGAAUGUAUUUCAUCCCUUAAACACUUUCUUUAAACCCAGUUUCAAACAAAAGACUUAGGCCUACUCAAGUAUUUUUUGGUAUUGAAGUUAUGAGAAGAAAGGUAUCUCCGUGUCUUAGUGGAAGCAUAUUCUUAAUCUAUUGACAGAAACUGGGAAAUUAGGUGUUAAGCCUUGUAAUGCGCCAAUGACCUUGAAUCUGCAACUUGGAGCAGAGGAUAGUAAGCUAUUUGAAGAUCCAAAAAAAUAUAGGAGAUUGGUAGGUAAAUUGAACUAUUUUACAAUAAUUCGUCCUGAUGUUGCAUACUCAGUCAGUGUGAUAGUCAGUUUAUAUCUUUCCCAACUCUUACUCAUUAAGAAGCUUUGGGAUAAAUUUUGUGGUAUUUAAAGGGAGCUCGAGGGCGAGGCUUAUUAUAUAGUA
This 446-nucleotide unclassified non-coding RNA is filed under the name Hevea brasiliensis (rubber tree). Lineage: Eukaryota; Viridiplantae; Streptophyta; Magnoliopsida; Malpighiales; Euphorbiaceae. The record is from RNAcentral.